RNAcentral lists this ribosomal RNA (253 nucleotides) under uncultured bacterium. Its description in RNAcentral is "partial 16S ribosomal RNA". It matches the Rfam family "Bacterial small subunit ribosomal RNA", at positions 524 to 776 of the family's 1533-position model. The record is from RNAcentral.
UACGGAGGGGGCUAGCGUUGUUCGGAAUUACUGGGCGUAAAGCGCACGUAGGCGGCUUUGUAAGUCAGAGGUGAAAGCCCGGAGCUUAACUCCGGAAUUGCCUUUGAGACUGCAUCGCUUGAAUCCGGGAGAGGUGAGUGGAAUUCCGAGUGUAGAGGUGAAAUUCGUAGAUAUUCGGAAGAACACCAGUGGCGAAGGCGGCUCACUGGACCGGUAUUGACGCUGAGGUGCGAAAGCGUGGGGAGCAAACAGG